CUUUGUGAGAAAAGACGAAAGACGGAUAGGAUUCUAAGACAGUGCAUUGCAGGCUUCCAGAGUUUUGUGUCCAGACCCCGAACAACGGACCAGUCCUCAAUCAAUGUGUGACAGAAGAGGACGAGAACAGGCUAUGAAACAAGCAGACCUGUGAGAGAUCACUUACUGCUGGGGGAAUCCUGUAGGCUUUGGAUGAUACGUCAGUGGCUCAUGGCUAAGCAUAGAGGGUAAGUAAGCUAACAUGAUGUAGACAGUUGGAAAGAAGAUAAGGUGAAGGGAGGAGUUCUUAGUCGCAGUGAAUUUAAUACUGGGAAUUUUCGGCACCAUGGCAUUUGGCAGGGAAGAUAUUUUGGGCAGUGGGGAUUGGGAUAUGUCUCCAGUUACACCAUAUGAGGAGUUGCUUACUCUUCUGUUUAUGGGUCCAGGCUUGUCUGUCUAGGGGCAUGUGAUCUGCAGGUGUUGAUGGGAAGGUCAGAGGGAGGAGGGGAGUGAGCAAGAGGCAGACAGGGAGAGAGAGAGAGAGAGAGAGAGAGAGAGAGAGAGAGAGAGAGAGAGAGAAAAGCUUUCCUAAGGCUGACUGCUCAGGGAACUUAACACCUCGGAGUAUGUUCUAAAGGAACUGCUCAAGACCUUUUAUUAAUGCAUAGCUUUUCACCUUUGGCACAGAGGAGAAAGCUCUGGAAGAUGUUCCACAGCACUGCACCAGCACUGUGCAGGAAACAUCUAAGGAGCUCGCUGGCACACUCAGUGUCUUGUUGGGCAGCCUUUCCUACCGCUUCUUUACGACCACAGAAAGCUGCUGUCCUGUGGAAUGGCUUAGAAUACAGUUCUCUUGGCUCCGAGUGCUCUGUGCCUCCUGACCCUGCACCUGCAUCUGUAGGAAGACAGGAAGGCAAGUCUGAAUCCCUUGGCUAGAAAUGAUGUUCAUAGGCAAAGCUUACAGUCAGUGUGCUUUAGAACUUCUCGUGUUUCAGACUCCUCCCUCAGCUAUCCGAUGCCACAAGAUGCCUCAUCUACAAAGUGAGUGUCCUAUUCCAUAUCCGAAAGAUGCCUACUUCUGGGCCAUAACAGAGUGUGAGGUAAAGUACAUUUGCUCAGUUGUUGGUCCAGUCCUGAGAAAAAUUAGGGCACCUAUGAAUGUUUUUAUUUUCCUGUAUGUUUUAUAAAUUAGGCUGUACCCAAGAAUUGUAACACUAAUUAGGAAAAACUUCCCCAGUAUAUAGUUUUCAUCUGCAUUCAGAAAAUAGUAAUACUAUCUGACGCUUUAAGAUCCAGUUGGCAGAUCUGGUAGCACUUGCCUAUAUAGUAUAUCAGCUUGAAUUCUACCAAGUUUUAAUCUCCAAUUAUGAUUACAUUUAGGUUUGAGUGAUAGUAUUAUUUUGUUUUUUAAAACAUUAGGUAUUAGAUAUGUGUUUUACAGCUAGUCUUCAUUCAAAUAUUUCUUUCUGUGAAAAAGGUCUAUCUGUUUUUCUCUUUCUAGUUAGAGGAAACCCAGUCUUUAAAACUGGAAGCCAG
This 1515-nucleotide long non-coding RNA is filed under the name Mus spicilegus (steppe mouse). RNAcentral describes it as "lncRNA (ENSMSIG00000032019.1)". Lineage: Eukaryota; Metazoa; Chordata; Mammalia; Rodentia; Muridae. The record is from RNAcentral.